Molecule: unclassified non-coding RNA, 312 nt
Filed under: Hevea brasiliensis (rubber tree)
Lineage: Eukaryota; Viridiplantae; Streptophyta; Magnoliopsida; Malpighiales; Euphorbiaceae
Source: RNAcentral
ACUCGUGCAGCAGCAGCAAUAGCAAUGCCAAUGAUAGCACCACUAGAAUCGGUUUGAUGUUGCAAUAACAAAGGUUACUGCAUAGGGACUUGCUGUAAAUUUUAGGAAGUGUGAUUAGCCUAACUUGUUUUAAUUUGUUAAUGGAUUUCAUAUGAUGUGAAUGGGAUUAACAAAGAGGAACCUUUUAUCAGCUUUUUGAGGAGUUUGCAAGAAAGGGCUGUGUUUAUUCAAAUGGAACUCUUUAUUUUUCUUAUAUUGGCACCUUGUCUGUCACCUUGUCUGUGUCUUUUUUACUGUUACUGACUAGUUAUG